GAUGAACGCUGGCGGCGUGCCUAAUACAUGCAAGUCGAGCGAACAGACGAGGAGCUUGCUCCUCUGACGUUAGCGGCGGACGGGUGAGUAACACGUGGAUAACCUACCUAUAAGACUGGGAUAACUUCGGGAAACCGGAGCUAAUACCGGAUAAUAUAUUGAACCGCAUGGUUCAAUAGUGAAAGACGGUUUUGCUGUCACUUAUAGAUGGAUCCGCGCCGCAUUGGCUAGUUGGUAAGGUAACGGCUUACCAGGGCAACGAUGCGUAACCGACCUGAGAGGGUGAUCGGCCACACUGGAACUGAGACACGGUCCAGACUCCUACGGGAGGCAGCAGUAGGGAAUCUUCCGCAAUGGGCGAAAGCCUGACGGAGCAACGCCGCGUGAGUGAUGAAGGUCUUCGGAUCGUAAAACUCUGUUAUUAGGGAAGAACAAAUGUGUAAGUAACUAUGCACGUCUUGACGGUACCUAAUCAGAAAGCCACGGCUAACUACGUG
RNAcentral lists this ribosomal RNA (497 nucleotides) under uncultured bacterium. RNAcentral describes it as "partial 16S ribosomal RNA". It matches the Rfam family "Bacterial small subunit ribosomal RNA", at positions 28 to 507 of the family's 1533-position model. The record is from RNAcentral.